Molecule: long non-coding RNA, 1089 nt
Filed under: Triticum aestivum (bread wheat)
Lineage: Eukaryota; Viridiplantae; Streptophyta; Magnoliopsida; Poales; Poaceae
Description: long non-coding RNA (TAES_LNC019888)
Source: RNAcentral
UAAAUGAGCAGCUACACUCUCGGGUGUGCGGCUCGCUUAUCCUCAAAAAGAGAAGUUGCAGGAAUGAGGAAGGGGAAUAUUGUCAGCAACAACACAAAUUAUCUUACAAUGCCAUCACAGAUCCUCCAGCAAUAAUAAUACUCCUAAAGUUCUAGACUGAAAGGGUAACACACCAUGCCGAAACAUCACAGAUAUCUUACAAUGCCAUCACAGAUAUCCCAGUAAUAAUAAUAAUAAAGUUCUAGACUGAAAGGACAACACACUAUGCCAACAACAUCACAGAUAUCUUUCAAUGCCAUAACAGAUCAUCCAGUUAUACUACUACUAAGUUCUAGACUGAAAGGACAAUACUACUCUAGUUCUAGACUCAAAGGGCAACAUACCACACCAGCAAUUCACAUAUAUCUUACAACGCCAUCACAGAUCGUCCAGUUAUAAUACUGCUCAAGUUUUAGACUCAAAGGGUAACAUAGCAUGCCAGCAACAUCACACAUAUCCUACAAUGCAAUCACAUAUCAUCCAGUUAUACUACUACUAAGUUCUAGGUGGCAGAUCAUAGAUGGAUAUAUAUUUCAAGAGACAUACAUAACAUAGUGCUGUAAUGGAACUGAUAUCGUCUUGCUUCUCCAUCAAACAAGAGAUACAUUUCGUCUCCAUUCAACUUGCUUUAGCAACAGGCUGAUAUCCAUCUUGCUUGUUCACUCCCUCAGCAGUAGCAACAGGCUGAUAUCCAUCUUGCUUGUCCACUCCCUCAGCACUAGCAACAGGCUGAUAUCCAUCUUGCUUGUUCACUCCCUCAGCUGUAGCAACAGGCUGAUAUCCAUCUUGCUUGUCCACUCCCUCGGCAGUACCAACAGGCUGAUAUCCAUCUUGCUUGUUCACUCCCUCAGCAGUAGCAACUCUCCGCAGUCUCUCUUGUAUUACUUGCCUCUCCAGCCUCUCUUGUAUCAUGGGCACACUCUCAGCAGUAACAAGAUAGUCACCAUACCUUACGAUUUCAGGACGGGAAAUCAAGGCAUAAUAAGUGAGCCCAGAAAUAACAAGAAUACCCGCCGACCUAGUGAAGUCGGUCACCUUCUUGGUUCUACA